RNAcentral lists this ribosomal RNA (497 nucleotides) under uncultured bacterium. RNAcentral's name for it is "partial 16S ribosomal RNA". It matches the Rfam family "Bacterial small subunit ribosomal RNA", at positions 28 to 507 of the family's 1533-position model. The record is from RNAcentral.
GAUGAACGCUGGCGGCGUGCCUAAUACAUGCAAGUCGAGCGAACGGACGAGAAGCUUGCUUCUCUGAUGUUAGCGGCGGACGGGUGAGUAACACGUGGAUAACCUACCUAUAAGACUGGGAUAACUUCGGGAAACCGUAGCUAAUACCGGAUAAUAUUUUGAACCGCAUGGUUCAAAAGUGAAAGACGGUCUUGCUGUCACUUAUAGAUGGAUCCGCGCUGCAUUAGCUAGUUGGUAAGGUAACGGCUUACCAAGGCAACGAUGCAUAGCCGACCUGAGAGGGUGAUCGGCCACACUGGAACUGAGACACGGUCCAGACUCCUACGGGAGGCAGCAGUAGGGAAUCUUCCGCAAUGGGCGAAAGCCUGACGGAGCAACGCCGCGUGAGUGUUGAAGGUCUUCGGAUCGUAAAACUCUGUUAUUAGGGAAGAACAUAUGUGUAAGUAACUGUGCACAUCUUGACGGUACCUAAUCAGAAAGCCACGGCUAACUACGUG